GAUCCUGGCUUAGGACAAACGCUGGCGGCGUGCAUAACACAUGCAAGUCGAACGAGAUUGUAGGAAAUGGAGUCUCGGACAAAGCUUUUACAUGAAAGUGGCGAACGGGUGAGUAACACGUGAGAAACCUGCCCUUCACAGUGGGAUAGCCGUUGGAAACGACGAUUAAUACCGCAUGAGAUUGUAGUAUCGCAUGAUAUAGCAAUUAAAGAUUUUAUCGGUGAAGGAUGGUCUCGCGUCUGAUUAGCUAGUUGGUGGGGUAAAGGCCUACCAAGGCGACGAUCAGUAGCCGAUCUGAGAGGGUGUACGGCCACAUUGGGACUGAGACACGGCCCAAACUCCUACGGGAGGCAGCAGUGGGGAAUUUUGCACAAUGGGGGAAACCCUGAAUGCAGCGACGCCGCGUGAAUGAAGAAGGCCUUCGGGUUGUAAAGUUCUGUCCUUGGUGAAGAUAAUGACAGUAACCAAGAAGAAAGCCCCGGCUAAAUACGUGCCAGCAGCCGC
RNAcentral lists this ribosomal RNA (504 nucleotides) under uncultured bacterium. RNAcentral's name for it is "bacterial SSU rRNA". It matches the Rfam family "Bacterial small subunit ribosomal RNA", at positions 15 to 518 of the family's 1533-position model. The record is from RNAcentral.